ACUCUACAUGUGCACGAAAACUGAUUUUGAAAAUAUUGCUUCGUUAUUUUAAUAAAAAAUCAAAAAAAUGAGAAAAAGCUUCCAGUUUCGCCUUAAAAUCUAGUUCGCGUGAACAGGUCUUGCUCCUGGGCAAUUGAGGUGGGGCUGAGGGGGCUUCCAGAAAGUUCCCAGAGAGCCCAAAAAGGGUGUUCCAAGGGGCUUCAGGGGCGUUUUAAAGGGUUGUUUUGAGGGAUUUGAGGAACCUUUCAAAGGCGUUCUGUCAAGAUUGCUUGGUGUUUUCAUGGGAUUACGGGGAAUUCAGCAGUAUUUAAAUAGUAUUAAGUGGGUUUCAGAUGCGUUCCAAGAGGCUGUAGGGACAAUUAAAGGAAUCUCAGGAGCCUUUGAAGGACGUUACAAGAGAUUUGAGGGCGUUUUGCGGUAUUUUAUAGUCAUUUCAGAGAGUUUCAGGGUGUUUCAGGAACAUUUUAAGGGCAUUUUAGGAACGUUGGCAUUUCAGGGGCGUUUCAAGGGGUUUUCAGGUUCGUUUCCAGAGGUUUAUGGACAAUAUUAAAGGCGUCCAAAGGGAUUUUCGAGGCAUUUCAAAUUGAUUAUGAUGAGUUCCAUGGCGUUUCAAUAGGAGUAUGGCGAUUUAAGUGGCGUUUCAAUGCAUUUUAGAUCAGGGUCGUAUGAGGGGGUUUCAAGACAAUCUUUAAAUCAAAGGGUUUUUCAGAAGUGUUAUAAAAGAUAUUGUGUUGGGGUCUCUAAAAAUUCUUUGAAACUUCCUAAAAUGCCUGCGACCCGAAACUCGCAAAAACUCAUCGUAACACUUCCGUAACGCCUCUGAAUCCCACCGAAAAUGGUCUGAAACAUCCUGAAAUGCCUCCAAAAUCCCCCUUAAAUCCCCUCGGACCCCAUGUAACGCACCUGAGAGGCUGCGGACCCCCCGAAAACUCCCCGUAACGCUUAUGUAACGCUUCUGAAUCUCGCCGAAAAUGCUCUGAAACGUCCGGAAAUUCUUCCAAAAAACCCGCUUAAACUCCCUCGGACCCCAUGUAACGCACCUAAGAAGCUCCGAACUCCCUGAAAACUCCUUCGUAUCGCCUCUGAAUCGCACCGAAAAUGGUCUUAAACAUCCUGAAAUGCCUCCAAAAUCCUUCUUAAAUCCCUUCGGACCCCAUCUAACGCACCUAAGAGGCUCCUCCAAACACCCCGAAAACUCCUCGUACCGCUUAAGUAACGCCUCUGAAUCCCGCCGAAAAUGUUCUGAAACGUCCGAAAAUGCCUCCAAAAUAUCCCUUAAGCCCCCUCGAACCCCAUGUAAUGCACCUGAGACGUACCUAAACCUCUGAAAACUUCUCCGUAACGCUUCCGUAACGCCUCUGAACUUCGACAAAAAUGCUCAGAAACUUCUAAAAGUGCAUCCAAAAAUCUCCCCAAACCAAAACCCCUACAAACGCCUCCACAACGCUUCUGAAACCAGCCUAAAAUGCUCUGUGGCUUCCUGAAAUGACUCCUAAAGCCCCUUAGGGAGCAUCCAUAAAGUACGUCACGCUUAGAGGGGGUGGGGGGUUUUGAAAAGUGUGACUAGCUGUCCCGGCAAACUUUGUCUUGCCGUCUUGUGGUGAUUUGACAACUGUUGAGCUCAAAAUAGCACCGCACUCUAGAUUGAUUUUAUUUCAGUCGUGUUAAUUUCCUUCCCAGCUCAUGGAAAAUCAAUUCUUUAUCAAUUUUGAUACUUUUCUAGUUGAUUUUCGUAACUUUUUGUACGUAUAAACACAACCACCACGAAUACGAACCGAACCGUUCAAGAAUCUUGUUGAUCGGUUCAUCCGUUCUUGAGUUUUGUUGCCUCAAUGGAACUUCGAACUCAUUUUUAUAUAUACAGAUAGGAAAAAUCCGUACGAAGGGGUGAAGGGGGUCGAAAAUUCUCAUUUUUAGCGUGACGUACUAAAUGGAUGCCCCCUUAAGACCCACUUGGACCCCAUGAAACGCACAUGAGGAUGAUACCUUCGGAAACACCCAAAAACGUACCUGUAACCUUGCUCUCCCCUGUAAACACCCCUUGGCCGCCGUUGCAAUAGUUCCCGUCAUUAUUAAAUAUUCUUAUGCACUAUAUUGGUUCUGGGUAGCUUUCCCUUUUUUUAUGCAGGGCAUAAAAAAGGUGCAUAAAUUAAAAGUGCAUAAAAAUAACAUACAUAAAAAAAAUAAGGUUCACUCCGACGAUGCUUGCUUCUCUGAUCCACUUGGCCUGGUUGGGCCAGUUGUAGUCCAAGCGAAAAUACUCAUCCAGUGGCUGUGGCUGCUGAAAUGUGACUGAGUUGAUCCUCUCGACGAGUCUGUACAGAAGAUGUGGAGAGAAUACAAACAGAAUAUGGUCGCUUUGGAGUCACUAUCCAUUCCCCGCUGGCUUGGCAUCAGCAAUGACUGCACAGUAGUACAGCUACACGGGUUCUGUGACGCAUCGGAAGCUGCGUACGGAGCUUAUCUUUAUUUGUACUGCGUCGGAUGGCACCUUCACUGCUCGACUGAUCACUUCAAAAUCACGAGUGGCACCUUUGGAGGAAAAAAAAGAUGAGCUUUCCCGUCGCGAUCUGUUCUUGGUAUUCUUGCUCAUCCAAAUGAGAAGUACAGCCAGGUCCACCCGAACUUCUGGACAGACUCGAUGAUAGUUAAUCGCUGAUUGGCCUAGCCUCACUAUCCUCUAGGUGGCAAAUUUUCGUAGCAAACCUCGUGUCGGAGAUACAGCACCUGACUAAGAAUGGAGUUUGGGGUCAUGUCCCAAGCACUGAAAACCCCGAAGGCCCACAGCGGCUGGCUCAACAGUUCUGGUCUCAUAUAGACCACGUCGAAUGGGACACAUCAGUGCUAGAAGAACGUCCAACACUCGCGCUUCACGCUCAAGCAAUACCUCUAAGCGAAAUCGUCGUUCACGGAGCUCAUCCAUGUCGUGGCACUGCUACUUCGAUUUCGGCACAACUCGAACAAAUGCAAUCGGUCGUCCAGGAAAACGGGUCCUCUGACACUCGAGGAACAGGUACAGGCAACUGUCGCUCUAGUUCGCUUGUCUCAGCACGAAUACUCCCCGCAGGAGCUAGAAGAGUUGGACAAAAAGGGAUCUGUCCACGACUCUUCCAAUAUCGCUGCGUUGCGUCAGCCGCCGGCUCUCUAAGACGUCGAUAUCGUCCGAUCGCAAGCAUCCCUACAUUCUUCACCAUAAGCACCCUCUCUCAACGAUGAUCGUGUGGCAUCAAGCUCUUCCACGCCGGUUAGCAGGUACUGAUUUCGGCUGUCCGCAGAAAGCUCUGACCUGUUCACAACCACAGUUUCCGUGCUUCCGGAAUAAGCCCAAGGUUCUGGAUCAAUUAAUGGUUAACCCCGCAUAACCAUUCAUGAACUUCGGCGUGUACUAUUGCGAUCCAUUCCUGGUGAACUAUCCCAACCAUCGAGCUAUUCCAGUGAAUUGCUACGUAGCGAUGUUUGUCUGCCCAGUAGUCAAAGCCCGGCCGUCCAUCUGGAGCUGGUGAUGGACCUAACCAUCCAAGCGUUCCUAGAGGCACUGAAACAAUUCGCUGCUCGUCGUGGUAAGCCUCAACUUAUUAUGUGCGGCAACGCAACGACGUUUGUCGGGGCAAAACGAGAGCUCACCGAGCUGAACCGCCUCUGCACAACCAGAAGUUUCAAGAUAGGCUCAUCAAAGACACCGCACCGGUUCCGAUGGAAUCGAAUUUCGGUUCAUCCCCCCUCGGACACCCAACUUCGGGGGCCUAUGUGAGGCACAAGUCAAAUCGUUCAAGGGCCAUUUCAAGAAGGCGGUUGAAACCAAGGUGUUGAAGGUGGACGAGAUGUUGACUACUCUGGCGCAGAUCGAAGCAGUCAAUGUGGGAAAAUGCUCAGCAAGUGGUCUACCCAGUAUCUCUCUGAUCUGCAUAAUCGCACCAAGUGGACGAAGCAACGGAACAACAUCCGAGUUGGCACGAUGAUCCUGCUCGAAGACGAGCACGCCCUUCCAGUGGCGCACGAAGCAGCAUGUCCCACCUGUGGAGUUUAGGAUUUCUCUGGGAAGGAAUCACCCCUCACGUGCAGCACACACAACUUACCCGGGCUGACGUUGGUUCGCAAGUGGCAAGAGUGAACGCGGUUGGGUGACGCCUGGAGUUGUUGCUACGCAAGCAGGGAUGCUAACAUUGUCUGCUUGACAGUUCGCAUCACAUUCAAAUGCGCUAUAUCGCCUGCUGUGAUCAUUCUCUUUAUCACAGCUUUAUUCAGUACUUGUUCAGUACAUCUUAUAUCUCACAUCCUUCUUCUACUCUAAAGAAGUUUAACACAUUUUUAACAUAAAAUUGAAUUUCCAGUCAGUGAUGUGAAGUCAGUGAUUGAAGGCCAAAGUCAAGGACCUCAAGAAGAACUCGGUCUGGACGGACAUUCGAUACAGUCUACUCAGUUAAGUCCGUACCAUUCCACCCUGUGUUGCCUUAGUAAUGUCAAUGUCUUCCAACGAAUUGGGUUUAAGCAAUACGCUUGUUGAGUGAUUUCUGCAGUAAUUCCCUUGCUUUGCUUUCCACUUUGAUAAAAAUAUUGUUCUUGAGGAUGUUUUGCUGAUCUAGUUGCUGACAAGUUGUCUAUCAAAUCCAUCAAAUCCUAUUCUAUCCUGUAGUGUACCUAAGGUACCUAGUACCUUGCCUAGUACGCUAGGUAAGUAGGGUAAGUACAAGUGUACUUCUGGGUUCACCAGGGUUCACCUACUACGUGAUAGACCUCGUGUACGUGUUUACCAUGUACUAAAUAAAAAGUUAAGUAGGCAUUGAAGUUUAGCUCUCAUGUGAACGGCACUUGACAGUCAUCUUUCGGCCUCGGCAGAUGCAAAAUUACCAGUAGAAUUGAAGAAAAAAGAAGCUAGAACAUUUUUUGCAAAACAAGAGAUCCGGAUAACUGAAUACCAGAACAAACUUAAGAAUGCCGAAAAAGCUCUGCAAUCCUUGCCCAUUACCGUGUGGAGCAUACCUGAAUCCGUGUGGCCCGUACUACGGACCAUCCCUCGGAGUGUGUGCUCCUUGUGUGCCCUGUGGACCUUUUGGACCGUGUUCGCCGUGCCAGCCAUGUGGACCUUGUGGACCAUGCAUCCCGAUAUGUGGUCCUUGCUGGGGACCAAACGGCCCUUGUGCUCGAAUUGAAUACUACGAUCGAUAAAUUCUCAAUAUGUCUCGGAUGUUCGCAAUAAAUCUCAUGUAUUGAUAGUAA
This is a long non-coding RNA of Aedes albopictus (Asian tiger mosquito), 5217 nucleotides long. RefSeq lists it as uncharacterized. The transcript is spliced from 2 exons. NCBI's taxonomy places the organism in Eukaryota, Metazoa, Arthropoda, Insecta, Diptera, Culicidae. The record is from RefSeq and is a predicted model, not a curated record.